AUCAGUAUUCGGCUGAGAGUCGGGAAAGCCCAUUAGAUCAUACUCCGGAAUGCCACUGUUCAUGCAAAAACUUGAGGAGGAUCGACACCUUCACCUGGUGCUCACUGGGACUGGGACUCAUGACAAGAAGAUUUUAAUUCCCUAGAUGGAACCAGAACUAUUCGACGUCGAACUCCGUACCAGCUCGAUCUCUCUGUCGCCAACUUCAAACUUGGCCAAGAAGACGAUGAUGAUUACUGACUCGGUCGUGAUGCCAGUAAAUUAUUAGAUCCCAGUUGAAGAAAAAGGAGGUCGUCAGGUGUUAGCCUUGAUGCAAAGAACAUGGAACACGGUCCAUGAUAGAAGAAACACAAACAGGAAGAAGAGAUGAUCUCCAUGUUCCUCCCUCUUAUUCAGCGAUUUAUUGGUGCUUACUCCAUUGCGUUACCUCCUCCUCUGCAAACGGACUUCCCGCUCUGCUUCCUGACAACCUGCCGGUCCUCCGCUCUAUUCAAGUUGAAAUCAUCUCGAACUUGGAAGCAGGACUCGUGCAUUCCAACACCAACUAAAUUCGCUCCGCCCAGAGGUUGCCUCUUUAUUGGUGCUUCGAUGCACAUCGAGGCCGCAGUCUUGCCUUGGAUGACUGCGCGUUUGCGAUAUAGUUUGAGGAGCUCCAUUGGUUCACAUGUUGCCCGAGAACUCCCUCGGCAUCCCACGCGCUCUUUGCUGGAGUCACGGCCAUGUUGCCGGAUGAGUUUGUGUGUCUGGGCGUGCCGUGUGCGGUGGCUGAGAGCCAGCAUUUCUCGCCAUUGAUGCACCGGUCGUCCUCGAGCAAGUUCCCGCGGCCGGGAAUGGAGAUCCGUGCUGGAACUUGGUACACAAUCGGAGAGGAGAACGCAUGCAGUGGCAAGUCGUGCGCUGGAUCCAAAGCAGAGGCACUGGUUCGACGAAAAGAUCUCGACUUGAUCGGUUGGCACGUAUCGAUCUCCACGAUCUUUGGGC
Molecule: long non-coding RNA, 981 nt
Organism: Musa acuminata AAA Group (dessert banana)
Lineage: Eukaryota; Viridiplantae; Streptophyta; Magnoliopsida; Zingiberales; Musaceae
Exons: 2
Source: RefSeq, a predicted model, not a curated record